AUACCGGCGGCCCGAGUGGUGGCCGCUAUUAUUGGGCCUAAAGCGUCCGUAGCCGGGCCUGUAAGUCCCUGGUGAAAUCCCACGGCUCAACCGUGGGGCUUGCUGGGGAUACUGCAGGCCUUGGGACCGGGAGAGGCCGGGGGUACCCCUGGGGUAGGGGUGAAAUCCUAUAAUCCCAGGGGGACCGCCAGUGGCGAAGGCGCCCGGCUGGAACGGGUCCGACGGUGAGGGACGAAGGCCAGGGGAGCGAACCGGAUUAGAAACCCUAGUAGUCC
This 275-nucleotide ribosomal RNA is filed under the name uncultured bacterium. RNAcentral's name for it is "partial 16S ribosomal RNA". It matches the Rfam family "Archaeal small subunit ribosomal RNA", at positions 473 to 747 of the family's 1478-position model. The record is from RNAcentral.